RNAcentral lists this ribosomal RNA (1218 nucleotides) under metagenome. RNAcentral's name for it is "bacterial SSU rRNA". It matches the Rfam family "Bacterial small subunit ribosomal RNA", at positions 8 to 1217 of the family's 1533-position model. The record is from RNAcentral.
AGAGUUUGAUCAUGGCUCAGGAUGAACGCUAGCUACAGGCUUAACACAUGCAAGUCGAGGGGAAACGAUAUUGGAAGCUUGCUUCCGAUAGGCGCCGACCGGCGCACGGGUGAGUAACGCGUAUCCAACCUGCCCACCACUUGGGGAUAACCUUGCGAAAGUAAGACUAAUACCCAAUGAUAUCUCUAGAAGACAUCUGAAAGAGAUUAAAGAUUUAUCGGUGAUGGAUGGGGAUGCGUCUGAUUAGCUUGUUGGCGGGGUAACGGCCCACCAAGGCAACGAUCAGUAGGGGUUCUGAGAGGAAGGUCCCCCACAUUGGAACUGAGACACGGUCCAAACUCCUACGGGAGGCAGCAGUGAGGAAUAUUGGUCAAUGGACGAGAGUCUGAACCAGCCAGGUAGCGUGCAGGAAGGCGGCCCUAUGGGUUGUAAACUGCUUUUAUAAGGGAAUAAAGUGAGAGUCGUGACUCUUUUUGCAUGUACCUUAUGAAUAAGGACCGGCUAAUUCCGUGCCAGCAGCCGCGGUAAUACGGAAGGUCCGGGCGUUAUCCGGAUUUAUUGGGUUUAAAGGGAGCGUAGGCCGGAGAUUAAGCGUGUUGUGAAAUGUAGACGCUCAACGUCUGCACUGCAGCGCGAACUGGUUUCCUUGAGUACGCACAAAGUGGGCGGAAUUCGUGGUGUAGCGGUGAAAUGCUUAGAUAUCACGAAGAACUCCGAUUGCGAAGGCAGCUCACUGGAGCGCAACUGACGCUGAAGCUCGAAAGUGCGGGUAUCGAACAGGAUUAGAUACCCUGGUAGUCCGCACGGUAAACGAUGGAUGCCCGCUGUUGGUCUGAAUAGGUCAGCGGCCAAGCGAAAGCAUUAAGCAUCCCACCUGGGGAGUACGCCGGCAACGGUGAAACUCAAAGGAAUUGACGGGGGCCCGCACAAGCGGAGGAACAUGUGGUUUAAUUCGAUGAUACGCGAGGAACCUUACCCGGGCUUGAAUUGCAGAGGAAGGAUUUGGAGACAAUGACGCCCUUCGGGGCCUCUGUGAAGGUGCUGCAUGGUUGUCGUCAGCUCGUGCCGUGAGGUGUCGGCUUAAGUGCCAUAACGAGCGCAACCCCUCUCCUUAGUUGCCAUCAGGUUAAGCUGGGCACUCUGGGGACACUGCCACCGUAAGGUGUGAGGAAGGUGGGGAUGACGUCAAAUCAGCACGGCCCUUACGUCCGGGGCUAC